Molecule: small nucleolar RNA, 134 nt
Filed under: Lynx canadensis (Canada lynx)
Lineage: Eukaryota; Metazoa; Chordata; Mammalia; Carnivora; Felidae
Also listed under: 1 other name
Description: Small nucleolar RNA SNORA72 (ENSLCNG00005010705.1)
Rfam family: Small nucleolar RNA SNORA72
About the family: U72 is a member of the H/ACA class of snoRNAs. The snoRNA gene is located in intron 4 of the ribosomal L30 protein gene in human, mouse and chicken.
Source: Rfam by way of RNAcentral
UUGCUUCUCAAACUGUGGGAGCUUAUUAGAAAGGCAGUCUCCAGGCUACACGUUCGCCAUAUUAAGACCACGCGCGUGUCCCCAGACCCCUGUCCCUUCCCCUAGUCCUGGUUUUGCAAAUGCUGGUGACAUAC